GCUAACACAAUUUUGCAAAAUAGCAAAUUAGAGUGUUAUUACAUGAAACUUCUAACAAGAACUAGAAGAAAAAUAAUGCAUUGUUGCUGUUGUCAAGAGUGGACCUAGAAGUCCUGACAUAAAGUUCAACCGGAUUCAGUAACUUUUGCUCAACAUUAAAUCUGUGUUUUCUUCAUCGAACAGAAUGCGUUUUAUCUUAGAAAAUUAAAAUUUACAUAAUUCCCAUCUUAAAAGGUUGUGUUUUCUUUGUUUCUCAUACACUGUGAAAGACUAGCAGAGUGCAGCAGCCUUAUAGAUCUUCCCUACAACUAGCAAGAAGGGCUUCUGCUGCCGAAUCCAAAUCAUGAGGAAAGAAAACCCUGCACGUAUUAUGGUACAGUGUCUGGCUCAGUUGGUCUAUGUCAGCGAUACCUUUAGUGCCUGCAACAACUUCAAGCACUUGCCGAACUAAGCAAGGCUCGUUGCGACCUUUGACAAGGCAUUCUUGAUCAUGCUUAUCCUUUUUCUUUGAAGGCCAUGAGGAUUUCACAUACCUUAUCCCAGCAUGUGUAUUCUUAAUAUCACAGUAUGGUGAAUCUGUUUCAAUCAUCAUUCGCUCAACAGGUAUACCCUUUACAACUUCAAGGUUCUCAGCUGUCUUGAGAGAGCAACCAUUUAUUCCUAUAAAAACAUUACUAAAUGAAAGAAGUUUAUCACAAUCUUCAGCACUUCCAGUGAAAGAGUGUGCAAUGCCAGCAACAAACCGAUCCUUAUUUCGUUGAAGAAUGUCACAGAAAUCCUGAGAAGCUGCUCGCAUGUGAAGAAACAUUGGCAGCUUCAUUGUAUAUGCCAACUCAAACUGUUUUUCAAAGUACUUCUUCUGAAUGUCAGAUGGACAAAAGUGAAGUCUAUCAUAGUCCAACCCACAUUCGCCAAUCGCAACCACUUUUCCUUUUUCUUUUCCCUCUUUAGCCAAUGUCAAAAGAUCCUGCAAAUGCUUUUCUGGAUCCCCACUGUCUUCAAAUUCUUUGCAUCUUGUCGGGUGCACUCCCACAGUACAGAAAAGUCUUGCAUCUGUUUCAGCAAUGGCAAGAGCUUCCUUUGAUUCUUCAAGAGAGCCACCAGUUACUAUUAUUCUUUCAACUCCAGCACUCCACGCCCUUUUCAACACAGCUUGAAUGUCACCCAUAUGAUACUGUUUUCCAUUGUAUAUCCCUUUGAACAUGCUAUCAGUGAAAUUGACGGCUAUAUCAAUCAUUCGUACAGUCGCCAUUGCAGCUGAAGAUGUUUUCG
This 1272-nucleotide unclassified non-coding RNA is filed under the name Hevea brasiliensis (rubber tree). Lineage: Eukaryota; Viridiplantae; Streptophyta; Magnoliopsida; Malpighiales; Euphorbiaceae. The record is from RNAcentral.